Molecule: ribosomal RNA, 833 nt
Filed under: uncultured bacterium
Lineage: Bacteria
Description: bacterial SSU rRNA
Rfam family: Bacterial small subunit ribosomal RNA
Source: RNAcentral
GUCGAACGGAAGAAUACGGCGACGAGAUUUCGGUCAAAUCAAGUGUAUCUUUAGUGGCGGACGGGUGAGUAACGCGUGGGUAACCUGCCAUAUACAGGGGGAUAACACUUAGAAAUAGGUGCUAAUACCGCAUAAGCGCACAUGGCCGCAUGGCCAGGUGUGAAAAACUCCGGUGGUAUAUGAUGGACCCGCGUCUGAUUAGCUAGUUGGUGAGGUAACGGCCCACCAAGGCGACGAUCAGUAGCCGGCCUGAGAGGGUGGACGGCCACAUUGGGACUGAGACACGGCCCAAACUCCUACGGGAGGCAGCAGUGGGGGAUAUUGGACAAUGGGGGGAACCCUGAUCCAGCGACGCCGCGUGAGUGAAGAAGUAUCUCGGUAUGUAAAGCUCUAUCAGCAGGGAAGAAAGAAAUGACGGUACCUGAGUAAGAAGCCCCGGCUAACUACGUGCCAGCAGCCGCGGUAAUACGUAGGGGGCAAGCGUUAUCCGGAAUUACUGGGUGUAAAGGGAGCGUAGACGGUGAUGUAAGUCUGGAGUGAAAGGCGGGGGCCCAACCCCCGGACUGCUCUGGAAACUAUAUGACUGGAGUGCAGGAGAGGUGAGCGGAAUUCCUAGUGUAGCGGUGAAAUGCGUAGAUAUUAGGAGGAACACCAGUGGCGAAGGCGGCUCACUGGACUGUAACUGACGUUGAGGCUCGAAAGCGUGGGGAGCAAACAGGAUUAGAUACCCUGGUAGUCCACGCCGUAAACGAUGAUCACUAGGUGUGGGUGGGUAUGGACCCAUCGGUGCCGCAGCAAACGCAGUAAGUGAUCCACCUGGGGAGUACGUUCGC